This 301-nucleotide ribosomal RNA is filed under the name uncultured bacterium. Its description in RNAcentral is "partial 16S ribosomal RNA". It matches the Rfam family "Bacterial small subunit ribosomal RNA", at positions 509 to 807 of the family's 1533-position model. The record is from RNAcentral.
CAGUAGCCGCGGGAAUACAGAGGAUGCAAGCGUUAUCCGGAAUGAUUGGGCGUAAAGCGUCUGUAGGUGGCUUUUCAAGUCCGCCGUCAAAUCCCAGGGCUCAACCCUGGACAGGCGGUGGAAACUACCAAGCUGGAGUACGGUAGGAGCAGAGGGAAUUUCCGGUGGAGCGGUGAAAUGCGUAGAGAUGUGGAGGAACACCAGUGGCGAAGGCGACUCUCUGGUCUGUAACUGACGCUGAGGAGCGAAAGCGUGGGGAGCGAACAGGAUUAGAUACCCGGGUAGUCCCUGUCUCUUAUAC